AACGAACGCUGGCGGCAGGCCUAACACAUGCAAGUCGAGCGAGAUCUUCGGGUCUAGCGGCGGACGGGUGAGUAACGCGUGGGAAUAUGCCUCUUGGUACGGAAUAGCCUCGGGAAACUGGGAGUAAUACCGUAUGUGCCCUUUAGGGGAAAGAUUUAUCGCCAAGAGAUUAGCCCGCGUUGGAUUAGGUAGUUGGUGGGGUAAUGGCCUACCAAGCCGACGAUCCAUAGCUGGUUUGAGAGGAUGAUCAGCCACACUGGGACUGAGACACGGCCCAGACUCCUACGGGAGGCAGCAGUGGGGAAUCUUAGACAAUGGGGGCAACCCUGAUCUAGCCAUGCCGCGUGAGUGAUGAAGGCCUUAGGGUUGUAAAGCUCUUUCAGCUGGGAAGAUAAUGACGGUACCAGCAGAAGAAGCCCCGGCUAACUCCGUG
RNAcentral lists this ribosomal RNA (433 nucleotides) under uncultured bacterium. RNAcentral describes it as "partial 16S ribosomal RNA". It matches the Rfam family "Bacterial small subunit ribosomal RNA", at positions 29 to 507 of the family's 1533-position model. The record is from RNAcentral.